This 486-nucleotide ribosomal RNA is filed under the name Cymothoidae sp. CMJ-2007-9. RNAcentral describes it as "partial 16S ribosomal RNA". It matches the Rfam family "Bacterial large subunit ribosomal RNA", at positions 1808 to 2608 of the family's 2925-position model. Lineage: Eukaryota; Metazoa; Arthropoda; Malacostraca; Isopoda; Cymothoidae. The record is from RNAcentral.
CAAAAACAUUUCUUUCUAAAUUUUAGGGAAGGUAGGUCCUGUUCAAUGAGUUUUAAAUAACCGCAGUAUUAUACUGUGCGAAGGUAGCAUAAUAAUUUUUUCUUUAAUUGAGAGGUAGAAUGAAUGGAUUAACAAGAUGUUUGGUGUGUCUGAGCCAGAUUAGAAUUUUAUGAAAGAGUAAAAAUGCUUUUUAGUACUAGUGGGACGACAAGACCCUGGAAACUUUUUAAUUAUUAUUGUUAAAAUAUUAUUUGUUUUAACUGGGGCGGUUAUUAAUAGAAACAUUUAAAUAUAAACGUUUGUACGGAUGGAUUAAUCAUAGAUUAAACAUAAGGUUAAAGUUACUUCAGGGAUAACAGCGUAAUUAGAUUUGAGAGUUCAUAUCGAAGAAUUGAUUGCGACCUCGAUGUUGAAUUAAGUAAACCCCUUGAAGCAGAAAGUUUGAUAGGUAAGUUUGUUCAACUUUUAAAUACUUACGUGAUCUGA